CAAUGAGAGGUGCUACAAAGAGGAAAUAUCUCAUUUUAAAAAAAGAAAGUUCUAUUAUCCUUUCCCCAGACUCUUUAAAUGAUAGCUUCCCAUAACCCAUUUAUUCCCUUUAUCUUGCUGCAAAUCGAGACUCAUACCUCUCUGCUUGUCUAGGCGUUAGUUGCAUUUUCCACAUAUUUAAUGUUGUUUGACGCAAAUUAGAGUCACAGCCCUCUAAUCCGGGCCAGGUAGCCAACUUCUACAGAUCGAAGCCUUUUUUCCCCCCCUAUAACAGUUCAGCAAUUACCAGCACUUGGUAGGAGAUCUGUGCUCCUGUGAAAUCAGAAAAAUUGAAUUCCAGUGGACUGCAAGCUUUUUGGAAAGAAGGAGAAAGAGGCAAUGAAAAGUGAUUCAGAGAGCACAACAGAAAAUCAGUUUUUAAUCAAGAAAAAACAAUCUACGGAAACAGAGAUGUGUUCAACUACCUAAAAGAAAUUUCAGCAGCCAUUCAACCAUGAUUCGCCAAUUUGCAGAUACCCUAACUUGCAGUCGGGGCGAUUCAUCUUCCGAACACAUCUGGAACUGGAAGCCCCGGCAGAGCCGAUCAGAUUCCGUUCAUCUCUGCUUGCUACUGUCACACUCCCAAGGCCAAGAGUGGCCUGAUAAACACUGUGAAACCCUCUUAACUC
Molecule: long non-coding RNA, 668 nt
Organism: Tachyglossus aculeatus (Australian echidna)
Lineage: Eukaryota; Metazoa; Chordata; Mammalia; Monotremata; Tachyglossidae
Exons: 3
Source: RefSeq, a predicted model, not a curated record